Molecule: ribosomal RNA, 251 nt
Filed under: uncultured Candidatus Pelagibacter sp.
Lineage: Bacteria; Pseudomonadati; Pseudomonadota; Alphaproteobacteria; Candidatus Pelagibacterales; Candidatus Pelagibacteraceae
Description: partial 16S ribosomal RNA
Rfam family: Bacterial small subunit ribosomal RNA
Source: RNAcentral
GUCGAGCGAGGUAGCAAUACCUAGCGGCAGACGGGUGCGUAACAUGUGGGAAUCUGCCUUUUGGUUCGGAACAACACGAGGAAACUUGUGCUAAUACCGGAUAAGUCUUUACGGAGAAAGCUUUAUGCACCAUUGGAUGAGCCCGCACUUGAUUAGUUAGUUGGUAGGGUAAUGGCCUACCAAGACUGUGAUCAAUAGCUGAUUUGAGAGGAUGAUCAGCCACACUGGGACUGAGACACGGCCCAGACUCC